GUCCUGUUGAAACAGUUCUUCUUGCAAAUGUGGUGUUGCAGAUUUCCAGUGUGCGGAUCUCCAUGAGCACGUUUGCACGUGGUAUUUCAAGGUUUUCCCGUUGAUGGCCUCCAGCUUCCAGAUUCACUGCUUGGAAAAGGGAGGCUACCAAGAGCUUUCAAGCAUUUGCACUUUGGUAUUCUUGCUACUUUCCUUUCCAUGUUACUUUAAUCUUUUGUUUGUGUUCANNNNNNNNNNNNNNNNNNNNNNNNNNNUCUGCGCUUUGGCCAGUUCUGCAGAACCUCUAUUUCUUGAGGUUAUUCUGUGGGGAUUUUUCUCUGUUCCUCUUUCCUAGCUGUUCAUAUUAGUUCUUCAUCAGUAGUGUUCUCCUUUAACUCAAACAAAUUGCACUGGUUUACUAAAACUAUUCGUAAGCAGGUGCAGUCCUCUUCUGCAAGAACGCCUUUAUUUUGAUUGGAGUGGUUUAGCUUGAGGCAAUCGGAGGCAGUUUUAAACUCAGCUUUGCAUUGAACCUGUGGGAAGCCUGUUUGAGUUUAAAAACAGUUUGAGGUGAAUUAGUGGAACUUCUUAUGUGGGCAUAUCUUCUAUGACAGUGGGCGCAAUUCCACUGGGGAAGAUGGUGUUACAGCAGCAGGUUGCUUCCAUCAAGUCUCUCCACAGCUUGAGCGUUUUUUCAAAGCAUAAGGUGAAGACUUUCCUGCAGUAGGUUCUUUUGCUAGUGCUGCAGAAGUAAUUCAAAUGGCUGCAAAGACAGUUGCCCCCUUUCAGACUAGCUGCAAGCAGACCAAGUUGGAGAGACAGUACAGGCUUGUAGGAGAAGUGCUUUUCCGCACAUGGCGUUGUAUUUUGACUGAUGAAAGCAAGAGGGGAGCACUAGCUGCGUGGAAGCUCAUCAGGGCCAGAGUUGUCGCUCUCACCAGGGUACCUAAUACAGGUGAUACCUGCCAGCGCUUUGUGAGUGGAUCCUAGCGCUAACUUUUUGCCAAUUCAAUGGGAAGAAAAGUUGAACAACCUGCUUGAGACCCCAGCAGAAGCGCUCAGAAGUGAGUUCCUGCAGGUUCCUGAUUUCCAGCGCCCUGUUCAGGCCAUCCCUCUUGGCUCUCACCCUGUGAACAGCUGUACUGGCACACACAGACAUGCAAAAAAAAGCGAACCAACUUUGGCAAAAUGCCAGGACCUAAAUGAUUUGGAGAUGUUGAGCUAGAAUUAUUUGGCAGCCUCGGUAGCAGAAAAAUAUAACUACUUGGUUUACUUGCACACCAAUAGAAAAUUACUAGGAGUUAUUUAUUCUGCGUUAGAGGAGCAAAACAAUUAAAAUUUUUGUUUCCAAGAGGGGGAAGUGUCAAGGUCACUGUGUAAAUAUUGUUUGGAAUUAGCGAGUGGCCACAGGUUUGCCACUUUUCCUGUGGAAUAAAAAAGAAUCUGGCUGUAUUUCA
RNAcentral lists this long non-coding RNA (1436 nucleotides) under Struthio camelus australis. RNAcentral describes it as "lncRNA (ENSSCUG00000001864.1)". The record is from RNAcentral. Lineage: Eukaryota; Metazoa; Chordata; Aves; Struthioniformes; Struthionidae.